This 407-nucleotide ribosomal RNA is filed under the name uncultured bacterium. Its description in RNAcentral is "partial 16S ribosomal RNA". It matches the Rfam family "Bacterial small subunit ribosomal RNA", at positions 30 to 526 of the family's 1533-position model. The record is from RNAcentral.
AUUGAACGCUGGCGGCAGGCCUAACACAUGCAAGUCGAGCGGAGCGGCGGACGGGUGAGUAAUGCCUGGGAAUCUGCCUGGUAGUGGGGGAUAACGUCAGGAAACGGGCGCUAAUACCGCAUCCUAUCAGAUGAGCCUAGGUCGGAUUAGCUAGGUGGUGGGGUAAAGGCAUACCAAGGCGACGAUCCUUAACUGGUCUGAGAGGAUGAUGAGGCACACUGGAACUGCGACACGGUCCAGACUCCUACGGGAGGCAGCAGUGGGUAAUAUUGGACAAUGGGCGCAAGCCUGAUCCAGCCAUGCCGCGUGUGUGAAGAAGGUCUUCGGAUUGUAAAGCACUUUAAGUUGGGAGGCGUUACCAACAGAAUAAGCACCGGCUAACUUCGUGCCAGCAGCCGCGGUAAUUC